CCUACGGGAGGCUGCAGUAGGGAAUCUUCCACAAUGGACGAAAGUCUGAUGGAGCAACGCCGCGUGAGUGAAGAAGGGUUUCGGCUCGUAAAGCUCUGUUGGUAGUGAAGAAAGAUAGAGGUAGUAACUGGCCUUUAUUUGACGGUAAUUACUUAGAAGGUCACGGCUAACUACGUGCCAGCAGCAGCGGUAAUACGUAGGUGGCAAGCGUUGUCCGGUUUUAUUUGGCGUAAAGCGAGUGCCGGCGGUUCAAUAAGUCUGAUGUGAAAGCCUUCGGCUAAACCGGAGAAUUGCAUCAGAAAAUGUUGAACGUGAGUGCAGAAGAGGAGAGUGGAACUCCAUGUGGAGCGGUGGAAUGCGUAGAUAUAUGGAAGAACACCAGUGGCGAAGGCGGCUCUCUGGUCUGCAACUGACGCUGAGGCUCGAAAGCAUGGGUAGCGAACAGGAGUAGAUACCCCGGUAGUC
This 465-nucleotide ribosomal RNA is filed under the name uncultured bacterium. Its description in RNAcentral is "partial 16S ribosomal RNA". It matches the Rfam family "Bacterial small subunit ribosomal RNA", at positions 338 to 795 of the family's 1533-position model. The record is from RNAcentral.